GUCUACGGCCAUACCACCCUGAACGUGCCUGAUCUCAUCUGAUCUUGGAAGCUAAGCAGGGUCCAGCCUGGUUAGUACUUGGAUGGGAGAAAUAUAUGACUUUAAAAU
Panthera pardus (leopard) is the source of this 108-nucleotide ribosomal RNA. Lineage: Eukaryota; Metazoa; Chordata; Mammalia; Carnivora; Felidae. The record is from Ensembl.